ACACAUGCAAGUCGAGCGGAACGAGUUAACUGAACCUUCGGGGAACGUUAACGGCGUCCAGCGGCGGACGGGUGAGUAAUGCCUGGGAAAUUGCCCUGAUGUGGGGGAUAACCAUUGGAAACGAUGGCUAAUACCGCAUAAUAGCUUCGGCUCAAAGAGGGGGACCUUCGGGCCUCUCGCGUCAGGAUAUGCCCAGGUGGGAUUAGCUAGUUGGUGAGGUAAGGGCUCACCAAGGCGACGAUCCCUAGCUGGUCUGAGAGGAUGAUCAGCCACACUGGAACUGAGACACGGUCCAGACUCCUACGGGAGGCAGCAGUGGGGAAUAUUGCACAAUGGGCGCAAGCCUGAUGCAGCCAUGCCGCGUGUAUGAAGAAGGCCUUCGGGUUGUAAAGUACUUUCAGCAGUGAGGAA
RNAcentral lists this ribosomal RNA (411 nucleotides) under uncultured Vibrio sp. RNAcentral describes it as "bacterial SSU rRNA". It matches the Rfam family "Bacterial small subunit ribosomal RNA", at positions 51 to 449 of the family's 1533-position model. Lineage: Bacteria; Pseudomonadati; Pseudomonadota; Gammaproteobacteria; Vibrionales; Vibrionaceae. The record is from RNAcentral.